Molecule: long non-coding RNA, 719 nt
Filed under: Ananas comosus (pineapple)
Lineage: Eukaryota; Viridiplantae; Streptophyta; Magnoliopsida; Poales; Bromeliaceae
Description: long non-coding RNA (ACOM_LNC005856)
Source: RNAcentral
AGCUGAACAAGAUAUAUAUAUAUUUUUUUUUUUCUUUCUCAUCCCUCGUCUUCCCUCCUUGUCGUCCCUUUCUUUCUUUCUUUUUUCUUCGCUUCCUCUUUCUCAUCCUCCACCAUCCACGUUGAUGUCGCGUUCUUCUCUCUCACCUCGUCCAUAUCUGCACAGACGAUUGCGGUGGCGAUGCAUGCUCAGAUAUAGUAUUGAUCGCGGAUGUUAGACUGCAGUAGAGGGUGUGAUUGUCGAUGAUGAUGACGACGAUGACGGCGACGAGGGUUUAGUAGAAUUUGAGAACGACAAAACCUGAAUAAAUGACUUAUUUUUGUAAAAAUACAAGUGGUGGAUCUUAUGCAAAUUGGUUAUUGGUUGUUUUUAUGCAAAGAAAAAUAAAUUUUAAACCACUGUUAUUUAGUUUACACCAUUUAUCUCCAUUUUUUUUUUUUUUUUUUUUUUUUCGGGGCCUGGCUGCCCCACCCUUGUAGCCUAAUUCAUCAUUCCGUNCGAUUGCGGUGGCGAUGCAUGCUCAGAUAUAGUAUUGAUCGCGGAUGUUAGACUGCAGUAGAGGGUGUGAUUGUCGAUGAUGAUGACGACGAUGACGGCGACGAUGGUGCAGUAGAAUUUAAGAACGACAAAACCUGAAUAAAUGACUUAUUUUUGUAAAAAUACAAGUGGUGGAUUUCUUUUGCAAGUUGGUUAUUGGUUGUUUUUAUGCAAAGAAAAAU